UCAGUUUUAACUACUGAUUUUUACUCCCUUAUUUUGGUUUGUACUUUCUGAUUUCUGAUUGUUGAUCAUGAGCCACUUUGCAUACACUUCAAUAUAGGAAAGGAGGACAAUUCAAACAAACAAUUAUUUUAUUGAGGUUAAAAGACCCUCUGAAUUUGGAGGAGUGUCUUGCCUUCAUGAAAACACAGGAUAAAUUUACUUUCAAAGUAAAUUAUAAGUUCUAAAGUAAUCACAUAGAAAGGUAAUCCUGAAUAUCCAGCCAAAUCUAUUUCCUCUCCUUUUGCAAAAGGGACAAACAUUCCAGCCUGGCUUCAUUCCCUCUUCUCAAGUCCAAGCUCACUGUAUAGAAAUGCUAGUUGUGUUGCAACCUAAAACAAUUAAAAAUAGUUAUUACAAAACAGAGUACACAUAACCUUUUGCACACUUUAGAGAUGUAUUAUCAGCAGCUCUUUCCAACCCAACUGAUGGUCUCCUUGCAGUGCCGUUCGUGCUCCUGUAACACUGGAGAUAAUCAUGUGGGUUUGCCUGCAGUCUGAAGAGUAAUCAGAGUUCUUCCUGCCCAAUCCUCUUUAGAAAAUGGCAGCUGCUCUAAUGGGCUUUUCACUGAGAUCAGGAAAGCUUCCUGUGAAUUGAGCAUUACUGUCAAGUGUAACACAGCUUGUGACCAGAACAACAGCAGCAAUGCUGAAGCUGGUGUCACAAAAUGCUUUCAAAAUUGCUUUGCUUCUUUCUGUCAUAGCCUGUGGUUGAAGUACUUUCAUGUGAGCAUGUGUGCCUUCUAUAUAAGUAAAAAGUUCUUUAUCUACACUUUAAAAAUAUUUAAACACA
Candoia aspera is the source of this 828-nucleotide long non-coding RNA. RefSeq lists it as uncharacterized. NCBI's taxonomy places the organism in Eukaryota, Metazoa, Chordata, Lepidosauria, Squamata, Candoiidae. The transcript has 2 exons. The record is from RefSeq and is a predicted model, not a curated record.